CCGCAAGAUACCACGGGCGCACGGCGGAUGCCUUGGCACAGGGAGCCGAUGAAGGACGCGGCAAGCUGCGAUAAUCCCCGGCGAGGAGCACACAUCCUUCGACCCGGGGGUCUCCGAAUGGGCGAACCCAUGCACAGCGGUGUGCAUAUCCCCCCGCUGAACACAUAGGCGGGGGGAGGACAACCCGGGGAACUGAAACAUCUAAGUACCCGGAGGAGAGGAAAUCAAUCUCGAGACUCCCCGAGUAGCGGCGAGCGAAAGGGGACCGAUGGCCAAACCGUCGAGCGGGCAUACCCGGCAGGGGUUCCGCCGACGGGGUUGCAGGGCCGCGCAUCCGGGGGCUGCCGCCCCCGGGCGCAGGUCCGGCUGGGGAGCGGAACGGCAUGGGAGGGCCGGCCGCAGCGGGUGACAGCCCCGUACGCGAACCCAGACCGGACGGCGCGACGCGGUCCCUGAGUAGGGCCGGGCACGUGAAACCCGGUCCGAACCUGGGUGGACCACCAUCCAAGCCUGAGUACUACCCUGUGACCGAUAGCGCACCAGUACCGUGAGGGAAAGGUGAAAAGCACCCCGGGAGGGGAGUGAAACAGUACCUGAAACCGUGCGCCCACGAGCAGUCGGAGCACCUUUAUGGUGUGACGGCGUGCCUUUUGUAGAAUGAGCCAGCGAGUCGCUGGCGCGGGGCGAGGUUAACCGAAAGGGAGCCGGAGCGAAAGCGAGCCUUAACAGGGCGACUUGAGUCCCGCGCCGCGGACGCGAAGCCGGGUGAGCUAUCCGUGGGCAGGCUGAAGCGGGGGUAAGACCCCGUGGAGGGCCGAACCCACUUCGGUUGAAAACGGAGGGGAUGACCUGUGGAUAGGAGUGAAAGGCUAAUCAAACCCGGAGAUAUCUCGUUCUCCCCGAAAUAGCUUUAGGGCUAGCGUCGCGCGUUCACCGCCGGAGGUAGAGCACCGGAUGGACGAGGGGGCUUCGCCGCCUACCGAAUCCAACCGAACUCCGAAUGCCGGCGGCCCAGAGCGCGGCAGUCAGAGCAUGUGGGCUAAGCUGUGUGCUCGAGAGGGAAACAGCCCGGACCGCCCGCUAAGGUCCCCAAGUUCCAGCCGAGUGGCAAAGGAUGUGCGUCCGCCCAGACAACCAGGAUGUUGGCUUAGAAGCAGCCAUGCAUUCAAAGAGUGCGUAACAGCUCACUGGUCGAGUGGACAUGCGCCGACAAUACACGGGGCUAAGCUGGACACCGAAGCGGCGGGAUUUUAAUUCAUUAGAAUCAGUAGGGGAGCUUCCCAUGGGCGGAGAAGCCGGAGGGCGACCGACGGUGGAGCGCAUGGGAGUGAGAAUGCUGGCAUGAGUAGCGAGAGACGAGAGAGUAACUCGUCCGCCGUGAACCCGAGGUUUCCUGGGCAAGGCUAAUCCUCCCAGGGUCAGUCGGGGGCUAAGGCGAGGCCGGUAGGCGUAGCCGACGCGCAGCAGGCAGACAUUCCUGCACCGCGCACGCGGCGCUACGACCGACGGGGCGACGGAUGGGGGUGGCUCGGCGGGGUUCUGGACGUCCCCGUGAUGGAGCGCGGCCCGCGGACCAGGGAAAUCCGGUCCGCAUCAAGGGCGAGGCUCCGGACGAAGCGACUGAGCGAAGCGAGUGAGCCCGAGGUCCCUAGAAAAACCCCUAGGCAGGCGCGUGCGCGCCCGUACCGCAAACCGACACAGGUGGGUGGGUAGAACAUACCGAGGCGAUCGGGUCAACCAUGGUCAAGGAACUCGGCACAAUGGCCCCGUAACUUCGGGAGAAGGGGUGCCCGCGCGUACGUGAACGGACUUGCUCCGGGAGCGGAGGCGGGCCGCAGUGGAGAGGCCCAAGCGACUGUUUACCAAAAACACAGGACUCUGCAGAAGCCGCAAGGCGACGUAUAGGGUCUGACGCCUGCCCGGUGCCGGAAGGUCACGCGGAGGAGUUAGCCGAUUCGGCGAAGCCCCGAAGCCAAGCCCCGGUAAACGGCGGCCGUAACUAUAACGGUCCUAAGGUAGCGAAAUUCCUUGUCGGGUAAGUUCCGACCUGCACGAA
RNAcentral lists this ribosomal RNA (2056 nucleotides) under Collinsella sp. RNAcentral describes it as "partial 23S ribosomal RNA". It matches the Rfam family "Bacterial large subunit ribosomal RNA", at positions 1 to 1996 of the family's 2925-position model. The record is from RNAcentral. Lineage: Bacteria; Bacillati; Actinomycetota; Coriobacteriia; Coriobacteriales; Coriobacteriaceae.